GUCUAUUUGAAGGUGUUUAUAGUCUGAUCUGCUCACUGAUAUUAAUUAUUUAAGGGCCGCGGUAAUUUGACCGUGCAAAGGUAGCAUAAUCAUUAGUUUUUUAAUUAAGAACUCGUAUGAAUGAUUGGACGAAAGAAAAGCUGUCUCUAUUGCAAAAAUUGAAUUUAACUUUUAAGUGAAAAGGCUUAAAUAAUCUAGGGGGACGAUAAGACCCUAUAAAGCUUUAUGAGUAAAAGAAAUUUGAUUGAAUUAAACCAUAAGAGUUUAAUUUGUUUACUGCAUUUUGCUGGGGCGGCAUAAAUAUAAUUACUAUAACUGUUUUUAAAAAAGUCAAAUAUAAAUGAAAUUAAUGAACCUUUUUAGAGAUUAGAGAUAAAGUUACUUUAGGGAUAACAGCGUUAUUUCUUUUAAGAGCCCAUAUCGAAAAAGAAGUUUGCGACCUCGAUGUUGAAUUAAAAUGUCUUUAUAGUGCAGCCAUUAUAAGAGAAGGUCUGUUCGACCUUUAAAAUUUUACAUGAUUUGAGUUCAGACCGGCGUGAGCCAGGUCGGUUUCUAUCUCCUAGACAUAUAGAGUUAUUUUAGUACGAAAGGAUUUAAUAGCUAAAAUAUUUUUGAAAUUUGAAAUA
Molecule: ribosomal RNA, 626 nt
Filed under: Corystes cassivelaunus
Lineage: Eukaryota; Metazoa; Arthropoda; Malacostraca; Decapoda; Corystidae
Description: partial 16S ribosomal RNA
Rfam family: Bacterial large subunit ribosomal RNA
Source: RNAcentral